RNAcentral lists this ribosomal RNA (254 nucleotides) under uncultured bacterium. Its description in RNAcentral is "partial 16S ribosomal RNA". It matches the Rfam family "Bacterial small subunit ribosomal RNA", at positions 524 to 776 of the family's 1533-position model. The record is from RNAcentral.
UACGGGGGGAGCAAGCGUUGUUCGGAUUUACUGGGCGUAAAGGGCGCGUAGGCGGUCAGCACGAGUCAGUUGUGAAAUCUCCGGGCUUAACCCGGAAAGGUCAACUGAUACUGUGCGACUAGAGUGCGGAAGGGGCAACUGGAAUUCUCGGUGUAGCGGUGAAAUGCGUAGAUAUCGAGAGGAACACCUGCGGCGAAGGCGGGUUGCUGGACCGACACUGACGCUGAUGCGCGAAAGCCAGGGGAGCGAACGGG